UCGAACUCAUGGUAAGGCUACAGUCGCACUACAUCAAAUUGGUGGUUUUCCGAAGAAAAUGCUCGAGUUACUUUAGGAAACACCGAAAUCACUUUACACGUGCCUUUAAAAAUUGAGGAGUUCCCUCAAUUCCUCAUGGAUUCCAUCAUCAGAUCAGAACCAAAAAUAAUACGGAAACACCUUGGAGGUAGCUCCUUUCAAACAAAAAAAGAAUUACUCAAAUCGGACCACGGAUGUCGGAGUAAUCGGUGAACGUACAUAAAAAAAAAUA
Long non-coding RNA from Cydia amplana, 271 nucleotides. RefSeq lists it as uncharacterized. Lineage: Eukaryota; Metazoa; Arthropoda; Insecta; Lepidoptera; Tortricidae. The record is from RefSeq and is a predicted model, not a curated record. The transcript is spliced from 2 exons.